AGCGAACGCUGGCGGUAGGCCUAACACAUGCAAGUCGAACGGCAGCACCGUAAGAGCGUGCUCUUACGGGUGGCGGGAGGCGGACGUGAGAGGAAUACAUCGGAAUCUACUUUUUCGUGGGGGUUAACGAAGGUAAACUUAAGAUCAUAUCGCAUACGCCCUACGGGUGAAAGGAGGGGAUCUUCGGAGCUUGCGCGGUUGAAUGAGCCGAUGUCGUAUUGGCUGGUUGGCGGGGUAAAGGCCCAGCAAGUCGACGAUCGGUAGCUGGUCUGAGAGGAUGGUCACCCACACUGGAACUUGGCCACGGUCCUGAGUCCUACGGUAGGCCGCAGUGUGGAAUAGUGGACAAUGGGCGGAAGUCUUGUCCAGUCAGAGCGCGCCGGUGGAGGAGGCCUUCGGUUUGUAAUGCCGUUUUGUUGGUAAAGAAAAGCAGCCGGUUAAUACCCCGCUGUUGUGACGGUACCCGAUGAAUAAGCACCGGCUAACUUCGUG
RNAcentral lists this ribosomal RNA (492 nucleotides) under uncultured bacterium. Its description in RNAcentral is "partial 16S ribosomal RNA". It matches the Rfam family "Bacterial small subunit ribosomal RNA", at positions 29 to 507 of the family's 1533-position model. The record is from RNAcentral.